GAAAAUAUGGUAAGCUAUGUUAACAAGCCAUAUUAGAUAUCAAGCAUUAAUAUGGAAAUAAACCAGGUAACUCCUGUGUAAUUGAUCUUUGUGGGGACUUGGAGGAGGGGAGGUGAAUCUAAACUAGGUUUAGUGUGUGCUAAACUUAAUUAAUGGUUAACUAAAUUCAUUCAAAGAUAUCUGUAACUUGUGGUCUGAUAGUGCUGGUUUUUGGAUAUGAAUUUGUCAUUAAGACUACCUGGGCUGACUCUCUUUUCGGACUCAGCCCACCUGCACCCAGGUGAAAUAAACAGCUUUAUUGCUCACACAAAGCCUGUUUGGUGGUCUCUUCACAUGGACGCGCAUGAAAUUUGGUGCCGUGACUCGGAUCGGGGGACCUCCCUUGGGAGAUCAAUCCCCUGUCCUCCUGCUCUUUGCUCCGUGAGAAACAUCCACCUAUGGCCUCAGGUCCUCAGACCGACCAGCCCAAGAAACAUCUCACCAAUUUCAAAUCCGACAAAUCCUGCCCUGAUUCUGGGGACCAUGCCUGUGGAGAUGCACAGUUCUACCAUUCAAAAUGACUAUCUGAAAAUACCUCCU
Molecule: long non-coding RNA, 579 nt
Filed under: Homo sapiens (human)
Lineage: Eukaryota; Metazoa; Chordata; Mammalia; Primates; Hominidae
Description: SNCAIP antisense RNA 3
Source: RNAcentral